AUAAUCGUUGUUGGGCCAAUGUUGGCCCAACAAUGAUUAAUAAGUAUUGUAAAUACAGCCGUUGGGCCAACGUUGAACCAACUUUGAAUUUCAGUCACAGAUAUCUCUGCAUUGGCCCAAUAUUGGUUUUCAGACAAAGACUUAUACAGAGAAAACAUCGUUGGCCCAACGUUGGCCCAACGUUGACGUAUUAGAAGUCCAUGUUAUGAUAUAAUAAUUAUAUAUUUUACAGGUGACUGUUUUAUCAUAAGCCCCUACAGGUAUACACGCUGUGUAUGUGUAACAUGCAAUAUUUGAUUAAUAAUUAAAUACUUUUCUGCACCAAUUCAUAAUCAGUUAAAUUUGGGCUAAUUAAACUUAACUGCAGCCGUAAUGACAUUUUCAAAUCUACUACCUUGAAAAAAAAUGUGAAAAAAAAUGAAAAAGAACCCACUUCUAACUCUAUAACAAAUAUCUAAUUUUCUACAGUCAUAAAAUGUUUACAAUAAAUCUGUUGAGUAUUCCAGAACAUGAACUCUCGUUAACCCGGGUUAUGCAAGAAAUCCCAGAAAAUGUGGUUAAUUUUACUCUCUAGGCCAGAUUUCUAGCUGCAUAUAUGUGAAGUAAAGGAAACUAUUAUACAUGUGAUAGAUCUAAAGUUAACAAAAACCCGGUCUACCAGCUAUACACUGUUGCUGUUCAAGAGAGUAAUAAUGGAGUGCAUAGCACUGUGGUGCACAAGAAAAAACAAGAAGAAAAAAGAAAGCAGCAACUUCAGUGAGAAAAAGAAAACAAUCAAACAAAACUUGGAUAUAUAAUGAGUUAAUAUACAGACAGUAAUUCACUUUAGUAGGAUUUAAUCAGUGACUAAAAAAAAGAAAAAUAUUUAGAUUUGUAAAAGGCUGGAAUCAAUAUUUGAUAUGUUGUAGUGAUGAAAUGUUCUGUUAUAAUUCUUCAGGAAAAUUGCAAACAAAUUUUAACAAAAUCUCAACUAUAAAAUAAAAUACGUUCCAAAUAA
This is a long non-coding RNA of Mercenaria mercenaria, 997 nucleotides long. RefSeq lists it as uncharacterized. The record is from RefSeq and is a predicted model, not a curated record. NCBI's taxonomy places the organism in Eukaryota, Metazoa, Mollusca, Bivalvia, Venerida, Veneridae. The transcript is spliced from 2 exons.